Molecule: ribosomal RNA, 187 nt
Filed under: Actinomycetota bacterium
Lineage: Bacteria; Bacillati; Actinomycetota
Description: Bacterial large subunit ribosomal RNA
Rfam family: Bacterial large subunit ribosomal RNA
Source: Rfam by way of RNAcentral
GCUGGUUAGCUACGUUCGGUUUGGAUAACCGCUGAAAGCAUCUAAGCGGGAAGCCAAUCUCAAGAUUAGGUCUCUCACUGGGCUAACCAGGUAAGGCCCCUCGUAGACUACGAGGUUGAUAGGCCGCAGGUGUAAGCACAGCAAUGUGUUCAGCCGAGCGGUACUAAUAGGCCGAGGUCUUGAUCUU